Molecule: ribosomal RNA, 403 nt
Filed under: uncultured microorganism
Description: bacterial SSU rRNA
Rfam family: Bacterial small subunit ribosomal RNA
Source: RNAcentral
GAGUUUGAUCGUGGCUCAGAUUGAACGCUGGCGGCAUGCCUUACACACGCAAGUCGAACGGUAACAGGUCUUCGGAUGCUGACGAGUGGCGAACGGGUGAGUAAUACAUCGGAACGUGCCCGAUCGUGGGGGAUAACGGAGCGAAAGCUUUGCUAAUACCGCAUACGAUCUACGGAUGAAAGCAGGGGACCGCAAGGCCUUGCGCGGACGGAGCGGCCGAUGGCAGAUUAGGUAGUUGGUGGGAUAAAAGCUUACCAAGCCGACGAUCUGUAGCUGGUCUGAGAGGACGACCAGCCACACUGGGACUGAGACACGGCCCAGACUCCUACGGGAGGCAGCAGUGGGGAAUUUUGGACAAUGGGCGAAAGCCUGAUCCAGCCAUGCCGCGUGCAGGAUGAAGGCC